This 253-nucleotide ribosomal RNA is filed under the name uncultured bacterium. RNAcentral's name for it is "partial 16S ribosomal RNA". It matches the Rfam family "Bacterial small subunit ribosomal RNA", at positions 524 to 776 of the family's 1533-position model. The record is from RNAcentral.
UACGGAGGGUGCAAGCGUUAUCCGGAUUCACUGGGUUUAAAGGGUGCGUAGGUGGGCAGGUAAGUCAGUGGUGAAAUCUCCGAGCUUAACUCGGAAACUGCCGUUGAUACUAUUUGUCUUGAAUAUUGUGGAGGUAAGCGGAAUAUGUCAUGUAGCGGUGAAAUGCUUAGAUAUGACAUAGAACACCAAUUGCGAAGGCAGCUUACUGGACAACUAUUGACGCUGAGGCACGAAAGCGUGGGGAUCAAACAGG